Molecule: long non-coding RNA, 1070 nt
Organism: Homo sapiens (human)
Lineage: Eukaryota; Metazoa; Chordata; Mammalia; Primates; Hominidae
Exons: 2
Source: RefSeq, a predicted model, not a curated record
GGAUCACAAGCAUGAGCCACUGCUCCUGGCCCUAAGAAAUAUUACUUUUUAAAGCUUAGCAGUUUCACGAUUUGUACUUAGUCUGAAAACCAAGGAUUAAUGAUUUAUUUCAAAGAACUUUCAAAACCAAAAGCUAAUAGGGAAAUAAGGUUUAUCUGUAUCCCUAUCUCUUAAAGAUGGUUUUGAUGAAGAUGUCCCCAAACAUAUAAAAAGUACUAUUACAGUCAUAGGCCAAUUAUAUUAGCUAGAAUAGCUGUUUGCUAUGAGAUCAAACAAUCCUUAAGUCUUGGAACUGAGAAUCAGAAAGGCUGAUUUCUGAGUUACAUUUCAUCUCUAUCUCUCAUCAGUUAUUGGGGGAAUCCAUUCACCAAAGUCACUCAAGGACUUAGUCUAAUGAAACAGCCAUCAUCUUGAACAUUGCUGAUUGUGCUAGAAGUAAAGAAAACUCUGGAAGGCUUUACCCUGUCACAUCAUUUUACUCAACUCGUUGGCUAAAAUCAGGAGAUCAAGGAGUUCAGUCAUCCACAUUCCCCAAGUAGCUAAGAAUCAAAUAUCUAUGAACAACAUUAAUAAAUGCAAACCGCGGAUUUAUUAAUACAUAUUACAGAUGAUUGGUGUGUGGGCCAUAGAAAUAGGGAUGCAAAUAGAUGAAAGAAGCAGCCAAUAUGAUGGAGUGGAUCAAUGGCUUUAGUUCUGGAUUUGUACAGCAUUCCCUUCCCCAUCCCGUCCUCCUCUCCAGUACCUCUAUACACUCACACAACUUCAUGCAAGGCAAGCAUGUUCAUCCAAUUAUCUAUGUUUUUUAGAGAGACAGACAAAAAGAAAAACACCAGUUCUAAUCUGGCAUUUAUUUCUGUCCCUGGAUCAGCUGAAGUUUAUACGUCUGUGGCCUGGAAAAAUUGUGACAGCAGUUUACAUUAUGGCAUUGUUAAUUACUCCUUAAAUUAUCUUCCAGAAAUUGUGAUGAAUAAGCGAUGUAGAUCAACACUUCAAAGAUAUGCUAACCGUUGGUACUAUUUAUUAUUUUGAAUUUGUAGUUUUAAUAAAAUAAAAACAUUCUACAAUAAGAA